UGUGGAGAUAAGCAGAUCAAGGUUUUUGGGGGGGGGGCACAUUUUUCAGAACCAUCUUAAAAACACCGUUGAAGACCAAGAAUAAAGGAGAUCCAAGAUGGAAAUAGAGCUUUCUCAUCUAUCCUUUUAAAAGAGAGAGGAGACACAGUUCACUUUGACAAACCUGUGUGAACUGAAUCUGGACCUUGGGAAACAUUCAACUGUCAUUGUGGAACCUUUUUGAUGGCCAGGUUCCAAUGAGAAGAAUGGAUCCUGCCCUGCGCAACCCUUAACAAGGAGGAAGAGAGGAGAAGUCAGCAGCUGAUGGACAACUAAAUUCUGACGUCUCACCUCGGAACUGUCAUGGAGUAGGCUCUGUGUUGGGACCCGAUUUAAAGGUCUCAGAGCAACUAGAAAAGAUGAGCUGGCCUUGCUGAGUGAGCUUGGCAGCCUUUCUAUGUCACCUGACUUCCAGUCAUGUCAUAGCCAUGGUUAGCUACCUGGCCAUACCUUUCUGCCAGGCUUGCCUGUAGAUUCCAGAGGAGCUAAGGGCAUGGGGAUAUACACCUCUCACUGAUGUUGGCAGGGCAGAUGCACCUCCAGAGAGAAGGGAGGUGGUGUCUCCCUCAAGAUCACUUCGAUACCAACUUCUAUCGUCUUGCUGCUCAAAAAACUUUUCCAGAAGCUUCUACAUCUGAAUUCACCUACCUGCUACCAUUGCUCGGCCAGGGACAGACAGAGAGACAGACUUGGUUGGAAUUUCUCUAAUGUCACAUAAGGACACAGUGGGAAGGUGGCCGCCUUCAAGUCUGGAAGAGAGUCCUCACCAGGAAACUGAGUCUGCUGGCACCCUGAUCUUGGACUUCCCAGGAGUGUGAGAAAUACGUUCCUAUUUUUUGAAGCCACCCAGUCUACAGUGGCAACCUGAGUU
Eptesicus fuscus (big brown bat) is the source of this 910-nucleotide long non-coding RNA. RefSeq lists it as uncharacterized. Lineage: Eukaryota; Metazoa; Chordata; Mammalia; Chiroptera; Vespertilionidae. The transcript is spliced from 5 exons. The record is from RefSeq and is a predicted model, not a curated record.